UUUCUGCCCUAUCAACUUGUUGGUAAGGUCGUGGCUUACCAAGGUUGCAACGGGUAACGGGGAAUCAGGGUUCGAUUCCGGAGAGGGAGCCUGAGAAAUGGCUACCACAUCCAAGGGAGGCAACAGGCGCGAAAAUUACCCAAUCCAGACACUGGGAGGUGGCUACGAAAAAUACUGGGUCGUUUCCCUACGGGAUGCGACACCGGAAUGAGCACAAUUUAAGACAUUUGUCGAGUAACAACUGGAGGGCAAGUCUGGUGCCAGCAGCCGCGGUAAUUCCAGCUCCAGCAGCGAGUGUGAAUGUUGCUGCAGUUAAAACGCUCGUAGUUGAAUGAUGCGCGCCGGGCCACGGAGUGGAUCGCCCCUGCCAGCAAACUGGAGGCAGCCAGACGACUGGCCAGACUCAGUCUGCGUCGGCGCUCGCGUGCAGCCAGUGGCAGGGCGCGCCGUCCACCACCAUGUGGCUCUGCGCGGAUUAUCGUGAGAGUGCUGCAUGGCCUUCGCUGGCUGUGCAGCGCGUCUUGCGGAUUGUGCCUUGAGUAAAUCAGAGCGCUCACAGCAGGCAGCCGCCUGAAUGUAAUAGCAUGGCCCGAACCAAUCCAAGAAUUUCACCUCUCGCGGCCAAAUACUCAUGCCCCCAACCGCCCCUCUCAAUCACCACCACACAGCACCAACCACCAGGACGGAUGUUGGUUUCCGUCGUGGGGUGAUGAUUGAGAGGGGCGGUUGGGGGCAUUAGUAUUUGGCCGCGAGAGGUGAAAUUCUUGGACCGGCCAAGGACUAACAAAUGCAAAAGCAUUUGCCAAGACCGUUCCCGUUGAUCAAGAGCGAUAGUGAGAGGUUCGAAGACGAUCAGAUACCGUCCUAGUUCUCACCGUAAACGAUGCCAACCCGGGAUCAGUUUUGAGCUACUAUUUUAUAUGCAUGCUCGCGGUUGGUCCCCCA
RNAcentral lists this ribosomal RNA (945 nucleotides) under Triactinomyxon sp. 'changzhou'. Its description in RNAcentral is "bacterial SSU rRNA". It matches the Rfam family "Eukaryotic small subunit ribosomal RNA", at positions 304 to 1090 of the family's 1831-position model. The record is from RNAcentral. Lineage: Eukaryota; Metazoa; Cnidaria; Myxozoa.